GACGAACGCUGGCGGCGUGCUUAACACAUGCAAGUCGAACGGAAAGGCCCUGCUUUUGUGGGGUGCUCGAGUGGCGAACGGGUGAGUAACACGUGAGUAACCUGCCCUUGACUUUGGGAUAACUUCAGGAAACUGGGGCUAAUACCGGAUAGGAGCUCCUGCUGCAUGGUGGGGGUUGGAAAGUUUCGGCGGUUGGGGAUGGACUCGCGGCUUAUCAGCUUGUUGGUGGGGUAGUGGCUUACCAAGGCUUUGACGGGUAGCCGGCCUGAGAGGGUGACCGGCCACCAUACGACUGAGAUACGGACCAGACUCCUACGGGAGGCAGCAGUGGGGAGUAUUGCACAAUGGGCGGAAGCCUGAUGCAGCAACGCCGCGUGCGGGAUGACGGCCUUCGGGUUGUAAACCGCUUUCGCCUGUGACGAAGCGUGAGUGACGGUAAUGGGUAAAGAAGCACCGGCUAACUACGUG
RNAcentral lists this ribosomal RNA (468 nucleotides) under uncultured bacterium. RNAcentral describes it as "partial 16S ribosomal RNA". It matches the Rfam family "Bacterial small subunit ribosomal RNA", at positions 28 to 507 of the family's 1533-position model. The record is from RNAcentral.